This 473-nucleotide ribosomal RNA is filed under the name uncultured bacterium. RNAcentral describes it as "bacterial SSU rRNA". It matches the Rfam family "Bacterial small subunit ribosomal RNA", at positions 30 to 519 of the family's 1533-position model. The record is from RNAcentral.
AUUGAACGCUGGCGGCAUGCCUUACACAUGCAAGUCGAACGGCAGCACGGGUGCUUGCACCUGGUGGCGAGUGGCGAACGGGUGAGUAAUGCAUCGGAACGUGCCCGAUUGUGGGGGAUAACGCACCGAAAGGUGUGCUAAUACCGCAUAAUCUCUGAGGAGGAAAGCAGGGGAUCUUAGGACCUUGCGCAGUUGGAGCGGCCGAUGUCGGAUUAGCUAGUUGGUGAGGUAACGGCUUACCAAGGCGACGAUCCGUAGCUGGUCUGAGAGGAUGAUCAGCCACACUGGGACUGAGACACGGCCCAGACUCCUACGGGAGGCAGCAGUGGGGAAUUUUGGACAAUGGGGGGAACCCUGAUCCAGCCAUGCCGCGUGAGUGAAGAAGGCCUUCGGGUUGUAAAGCUCUUUCGCACACGACGAUGAUGACGGUAGUGUGAGAAGAAGCCCCGGCAAACUUCGUGCCAGCAGCCGCC